RNAcentral lists this ribosomal RNA (304 nucleotides) under uncultured bacterium. RNAcentral's name for it is "partial 16S ribosomal RNA". It matches the Rfam family "Bacterial small subunit ribosomal RNA", at positions 506 to 807 of the family's 1533-position model. The record is from RNAcentral.
CAGCAGUAGCCGCGGUAAUACCGAGGGUGCGAGCGUUAAUCGGAUUUACUGGGCGUAAAGCGUGCGUAGGCGGCUUCUUAAGUCGGAUGUGAAAUCCCUGAGCUUAACUUAGGAAUUGCAUUCGAUACUGGGAAGCUAGAGUAUGGGAGAGGAUGGUAGAAUUCCAGGUGUAGCGGUGAAAUGCGUAGAGAUCUGGAGGAAUACCGAUGGCGAAGGCAGCCAUCUGGCCUAAUACUGACGCUGAGGUACGAAAGCAUGGGGAGCAAACAGGAUUAGAUACCCGUGUAGUCCCUGUCUCUUAUAC